This 70-nucleotide transfer RNA is filed under the name Thelenota ananas. RNAcentral's name for it is "tRNA-Met". It matches the Rfam family "tRNA". Rfam says of the family: Transfer RNA (tRNA) molecules are approximately 80 nucleotides in length. Their secondary structure includes four short double-helical elements and three loops (D, anti-codon, and T loops). Lineage: Eukaryota; Metazoa; Echinodermata; Holothuroidea; Aspidochirotida; Stichopodidae. The record is from RNAcentral.
AGUAAAGUAAGCUAAACUAAGCUUUUGGGUUCAUACUCCAAAAAUGGGGGCUAAAAUCCCUCCUUUACAA